UGGGGAAUCUUGCGCAAUGGGCGAAAGCCUGACGCAGCGACGCCGCGUGAGUGAUGAAGGCCUUCGGGUUGUAAAGCUCUGUGGGGAGAGACGAAUAAGUCGGAGUGAAUAUCUCCGAUGAUGACGGUAUCUUCUUAGCAAGCACCGGCUAACUCUGUGCCAGCAGCCGCGGUAAUACAGAGGGUGCAAACGUUGUUCGGAAUUACUGGGCGUAAAGCGCAUGUAGGCUGCUUUGCAGGUCGGGUGUGAAAUCCCUCGGCUCAACCGAGGACGUGCAUUCGAAACCGCAAAGCUUGAGUCCCGGAGAGGGUGGUGGAAUUCUCGGUGUAGAGGUGAAAUUCGUAGAUAUCGGGAGGAACACCGGCGGCGAAGGCGGCCACCUGGACGAGGACUGACGCUGAGAUGCGAAAGCGUGGGGAGCAAACAG
RNAcentral lists this ribosomal RNA (427 nucleotides) under uncultured bacterium. RNAcentral's name for it is "bacterial SSU rRNA". It matches the Rfam family "Bacterial small subunit ribosomal RNA", at positions 355 to 775 of the family's 1533-position model. The record is from RNAcentral.